RNAcentral lists this transfer RNA (74 nucleotides) under Termitomyces sp. T159_Od127. RNAcentral's name for it is "tRNA-Val". It matches the Rfam family "tRNA". Rfam says of the family: Transfer RNA (tRNA) molecules are approximately 80 nucleotides in length. Their secondary structure includes four short double-helical elements and three loops (D, anti-codon, and T loops). Lineage: Eukaryota; Fungi; Basidiomycota; Agaricomycetes; Agaricales; Lyophyllaceae. The record is from RNAcentral.
GGGUCGAUGGCGUAGUUGGUUAUCGCAUCUGUCUCACACACAGGAGGUCCUCAGUUCGAACCUGGGUCGACUCA